This 447-nucleotide ribosomal RNA is filed under the name uncultured bacterium. RNAcentral's name for it is "partial 16S ribosomal RNA". It matches the Rfam family "Bacterial small subunit ribosomal RNA", at positions 29 to 523 of the family's 1533-position model. The record is from RNAcentral.
AACGAACGCUGGCGGCAGGCUUAACACAUGCAAGUCGAGCGCGUAGCAAUACGAGCGGCAGACGGGUGAGUAACGCGUGGGAAUCUACCGUACCCUAUGGAAUAGCUCCGGGAAACUGGAAGUAAUACCAUAUACGCCCGAAAGGGGAAAGAUUUAUCGGGGUAUGAUGAGCCCGCGUUGGAUUAGCUAGUUGGUGGGGUAAAGGCCUACCAAGGCGACGAUCCAUAGCUGGUCUGAGAGGAUGAUCAGCCACAUUGGGACUGAGACACGGCCCAAACUCCUACGGGAGGCAGCAGUGGGGAAUAUUGGACAAUGGGCGCAAGCCUGAUCCAGCCAUGCCGCGUGAGUGAUGAAGGUCUUAGGAUUGUAAAGCUCUUUCACCGAUGAAGAUAAUGACGGUAGUCGGAGAAGAAGCCCCGGCAAACUUCGUGCCAGCCGCCGCCGUAA